CCUACGGGAGGCAGCAGUGAGGAAUAUUGGUCAAUGGGCGCGAGCCUGAACCAGCCAAGUCGCGUGAGGGAGGACGGCCCUACGGGUUGUCAACCUCUUUUGCCGGGGAGCAACGGGCGCCACGUGUGUCGUCACUGCGAGUACCCGGAGAAAAAGCAUCGGCUAACUCCGUGCCAGCAGCCGCGGUAAUACGGAGGAUGCGAGCGUUAUCCGGAUUUAUUGGGAUUAAAGGGUUCGUAGGCGGAUCGUUAAGUCAGUGGUCAAAUUGAGGGGUUCAACCCCUUCCCGCCAUUGAAAAGGGCGUUGUUGAUGGUAAGAGAAGUAUGCGGAAUGCGUGGUGUAGCGGUGAAAUGCAUAGAUAUCACGCAGAACCCCGAUGGCGAAGGCAGCAUGCCGGCUUCCGACUGACGCUGAAGCACGAAAGCGUGGGGAUCGAACAGGAUUAGAUACCCGAGUAGUC
This 460-nucleotide ribosomal RNA is filed under the name uncultured bacterium. RNAcentral describes it as "partial 16S ribosomal RNA". It matches the Rfam family "Bacterial small subunit ribosomal RNA", at positions 338 to 795 of the family's 1533-position model. The record is from RNAcentral.